UCCCUGUUACCAGGGCAGUCUGACUAGAAAAAUUCAACUAGCCACAAGGGUUGCGCUCGUUGAUGGACUUAACCAAACAUCUCACGACACGAGCUGACGACGGCCAUGCAACACCUGUCAUUUGGUUCCCGAAGGCACACUCUGCUUUCGCAGUGCUUCCAAAGAUGUCAAGCCUGGGUAAGGUUCUUCGCUUACCAUCGAAUUAAACAACACGCUCCACCGCUUGUGCGGGUCCCCGUCAAUUCCUUUAUGUUUUAGUCUUGCGACCGUACUCCACAGGUGGGAUGCUUAACGCGUUAGCUUCGCUACUACCAGGGUCGAUACUGAUAACAGCUAGCAUCCAUAGUUUACGGCGUGGACUAC
RNAcentral lists this unclassified non-coding RNA (363 nucleotides) under uncultured bacterium. Its description in RNAcentral is "contains 16S-23S intergenic spacer region". The record is from RNAcentral.